AUUGAACGCUGGCGGCAUGCCUUACACAUGCAAGUCGAACGGCAGCACGGGAGCAAUCCUGGUGGCGAGUGGCGUACGGGUGAGUAAUAUAUCGGAACGUGCCCAGUCGUGGGGGAUAACGUAGCGAAAGCUACGCUAAUACCGCAUACGAUCUAUGGAUGAAAGCGGGGGAUCGCAAGACCUCGCGCGAUUGGAGCGGCCGAUAUCAGAUUAGGUAGUUGGUGAGGUAAAGGCUCACCAAGCCAACGAUCUGUAGCUGGUCUGAGAGGACGACCAGCCACACUGGAACUGAGACACGGUCCAGACUCCUACGGGAGGCAGCAGUGGGGAAUUUUGGACAAUGGACGCAAGUCUGAUCCAGCCAUUCCGCGUGCAGGAUGAAGGCCCUCGGGUUGUAAACUGCUUUGUACGGAACGAAAAGGUUUCUAUUAAUACUAGGAGCUCAUGACGGUACCGUAAGAAUAAGCACCGGCUAACUACGUG
Molecule: ribosomal RNA, 483 nt
Filed under: uncultured bacterium
Lineage: Bacteria
Description: bacterial SSU rRNA
Rfam family: Bacterial small subunit ribosomal RNA
Source: RNAcentral